AACGAACGCUAUCGGUAUGCUUAACACAUGCAAGUCGGACGGACUAAUUAGGGCUUGCUCCAAUUAGUUAGUGGCAGACGGGUGAGUAACACGUGGGCAUCUGCCCAUCAGUACGGAAUAACUUUUAGAAAUAAAAGCUAAUACCGUAUAUUCUCUACAGAGGAAAGAUUUAUCGCUGAUGGAUGAGCCCGCGUCAGAUUAGGUAGUUGGUGAGGUAACGGCUCACCAAGCCGACGAUCUGUAGCUGGUCUGAGAGGAUGAUCAGCCACACUGGGACUGAGACACGGCCCAGACUCCUACGGGAGGCAGCAGUGGGGAAUAUUGGACAAUGGGCGAAAGCCUGAUCCAGCAAUACCGAGUGAGUGAUAAAGGCCCUAGGGUUGUAAAGCUCUUUUAGCAAGGAAGAUAAUGACGUUACUUGCAGAAAAAGCCCCGGCUAGCUCCGUG
RNAcentral lists this ribosomal RNA (447 nucleotides) under uncultured bacterium. RNAcentral's name for it is "partial 16S ribosomal RNA". It matches the Rfam family "Bacterial small subunit ribosomal RNA", at positions 29 to 507 of the family's 1533-position model. The record is from RNAcentral.